Molecule: ribosomal RNA, 497 nt
Filed under: uncultured bacterium
Lineage: Bacteria
Description: partial 16S ribosomal RNA
Rfam family: Bacterial small subunit ribosomal RNA
Source: RNAcentral
GAUGAACGCUGGCGGCGUGCCUAAUACAUGCAAGUCGAGCGAACAGACCAGUCGCUUGCUCCUCUGACGUUAGCGGCGGACGGGUGAUUACCACUUGGAUAACCUACCUAUAAGACUGUGAUAACUUCGGGAAACCGGCGCUAAUACCGGAUAAUAUAUUGAACCGCAUGGUUCAAUAGUUAAAGACGGUUUUGCUUUCACUUAUAGCUUGAUCCGCGCCUCAUUAGCUAGUUGGUAAGGUAACUGCUUACCAAGGCAACGAGGCGUAGCCGACCUGAGAGGGUGAAUGGAAAGACGGGAACUGAGAAACGGCCGAGACACCUACGGGAGGAAGCAGUAGGGAAUCUUCCGCAAGGGGCGAAAGCCCGACGGAGCAACGCCGCGUGAGUGAUGAAGGACUUAGGAUCGUAAAACUCUGUUAUUAGGGAAGAACAAAUGUGUAAGUAACUAUGCACGUCUUGACGGUACCUAAUCAGAAAGCCACGGCUAACUACGUG